AGAACGAACGCUGGCGGCAGGCCCAACACAUGCAAGUCGAACGCCCCGCAAGGGGAGUGGCAGACGGGUGAGUAACGCGUGGGAACGUGCCCUAAGGUACGGAACAACUCCGGGAAACUGGAGCUAAUACCGUAUGUGCCCGAGAGGGGAAAGAUUUAUCGCCUUGGGAUCGGCCCGCGUCUGAUUAGCUAGUUGGUAGGGUAACGGCCUACCAAGGCUACGAUCAGUAGCUGGUCUGAGAGGAUGACCAGCCACACUGGGACUGAGACACGGCCCAGACUCCUACGGGAGGCAGCAGUGGGGAAUAUUGGACAAUGGGCGAAAGCCUGAUCCAGCCAUGCCGCGUGAGUGAUGAAGGCCUUAGGGUUGUAAAGCUCUUUCGGUGGGACGAUAAUGACGUACCCGCAGAAGAAGCCCGGCUAACUUCGUGCCAGCAGCCGC
This 441-nucleotide ribosomal RNA is filed under the name uncultured bacterium. RNAcentral describes it as "SSU rRNA". It matches the Rfam family "Bacterial small subunit ribosomal RNA", at positions 26 to 518 of the family's 1533-position model. The record is from RNAcentral.